This 220-nucleotide long non-coding RNA is filed under the name Elaeis guineensis (African oil palm). RNAcentral describes it as "long non-coding RNA (EGUI_LNC041951)". The record is from RNAcentral. Lineage: Eukaryota; Viridiplantae; Streptophyta; Magnoliopsida; Arecales; Arecaceae.
CCAUCUGGUUAGGACUCAUAAUAGAGAGAUAGUAUCAUACGUUAACUGCACCUAAAGGUUCAUCAUUUUUUGUUCUGCUGGAUUGUCACUAUAUACUGCUAGAUGUCACUGGUAGAUUGUGAGACCUACGAGCAUCAUCUUGAUGAUCGAUGAUCCUUGAUGGAUAGAGUUGGAAUGGUUUCAACCCAUUAAAAAGAGUUUCAAUGAUAUGGUGAUAGGG